CCUACGGGAGGCAGCAGUGGGGAAUAUUGCACAAUGGGGGAAACCCUGAUGCAGCAACGCCGCGUGAGCGACGAAGGCCUUCGGGUCGUAAAGCUCUGUCUUAGCUGACGAUAAUGACGGUACCGGUGGAAGAAGCCCCGGCUAACUUCGUGCCAGCAGCCGCGGUCAUA
Molecule: ribosomal RNA, 170 nt
Filed under: uncultured Caloramator sp.
Lineage: Bacteria; Bacillati; Bacillota; Clostridia; Eubacteriales; Clostridiaceae
Description: partial 16S ribosomal RNA
Rfam family: Bacterial small subunit ribosomal RNA
Source: RNAcentral